GGCUGCUGGAGGUCAGGAUGGAGACCGCCUCGUCAGUGAAGGACAUUGCCUCGCUCAGAGGCCUCGGGUCCAGGCCUUCCAGUCCCAACAGAUGGGAGGGACCACCAGACAGAUCCUGGAGGACGCUACUGCAUAGGUUCAACUUGGUUUGUCUCCUCACCUCGCCUGAACCCGCGUCCUCAGCCUAUAGAAUAGAACCACCACCAACGGAACGCAAAGCCGCCUCCCCCUCGGCCUGGAGCCAAUGCGCCAUUCAGUCACAGCAGAGCGAGCCUAUCCGCUUUCAGCUGCUAUGCGUCACACACUAUUUUUCUCACCCCAAUCCACCUCUCUCUCUUUCUCUCUCUCUCUCUCUCUCUCUCUCUCUCUCUCUCUGAUUUUCAACCAUGUUUUCAACAUCUUUGAUCAUAUUACUGUAUGUUAAUGUCUCCAAAUAAGUUGCAAAUCCAGUCCACAGUCUCUCCAAAUAUCCAUUUGCAAGACAUUGACUGAUAAUAUGCCUAUUUUGAAAUAAUUCCAUUAAAUACCUACAUGUACAACAGAAUGGGUUGGAUUCUGGUUUUACAGAUACAGAUGUCUCAUGCUGUCUGUCCAUACACCUCCAAUCCCUCAUGUUGAUUGACCUGAGAGCUCUCUCCUGAACUGGGAUGCCCACUGACUCAGUGCUCAACUGGACUUGACAUUUAUCCAUCUAUCCAUGGAAUUCACCUCCAUGUGUAAUACACAGAACAUAUCUUACCAGCACUGAUUUGAAUGAUAGCUGCUUUAUUGAGGAAAGUUUACUUGCAAUGACUGUAAAUGUGGUUGUCUUGGCUACCUUAGUUGAAUGCACUGACUGUGAGUAUAUCUGGAUACAUGAACAAAAUAUACAAAAUAUGUACAGAUAUGUUUAAAGCAAAAGUUCAAUUACUA
Molecule: long non-coding RNA, 912 nt
Organism: Salmo salar (Atlantic salmon)
Lineage: Eukaryota; Metazoa; Chordata; Actinopteri; Salmoniformes; Salmonidae
Source: RefSeq, a predicted model, not a curated record